This is a long non-coding RNA of Folsomia candida, 737 nucleotides long. RefSeq lists it as uncharacterized. The transcript is spliced from 2 exons. The record is from RefSeq and is a predicted model, not a curated record. NCBI's taxonomy places the organism in Eukaryota, Metazoa, Arthropoda, Collembola, Entomobryomorpha, Isotomidae.
UAUAAAAGGGGUCGCGUUGAGCACAUCAACUCACAGUUAUUCAAAGACCAUUGCCCACUCCACGCUGCUUAAAAUCCAAGUGCAGUCAAAAAUUUGAUUUUCCAGAAACUUACUCCUCAAUUUUUUACAAGAACCCAAUCCCAACCAUGAACUCCAUGAAGUUUGCCGCUGUCCUGGUCCUCGUCGUCCUUGCCGUGGGUGUGUCUGUGGAUGGGCGGAAGUGGGAGGACGGCGCCUGGGUGUACGACGACAACGCCGAGUGCAGCAACUCCAAGGACCUCGGAACCACGAACUGCUACCCCGCCUGGAAGGACACCGCCGCAGCCUGCACCGAGACCUACCACGCCCAGUCCCAGUUCCAAGGCUACAUCAAAAAAGACGGAUGCACCUUCAGCAAACGCUUCUGCUGCAGCACGGGAUCUUUCUAAAUUAAUUGAGUGCCUUAUUUUCGUCAUAUUUAACAAAUUUUGACCCAAAGUAACAAUACUUUGUUGUAACUUUAAACUGUUCGUGUUCGUUAAUUUAUCUUAUUUCGAAGAACCAAUGUUGCCUGAUUUGACAACAAAAAUUUGUAAUGAAUAUUUUUUUACAAUUUUUCAAUUUUAUUCAUUCCCACAAUGAAGUUACUAUUCUCGUUUAUUAUGCUACCGAUGUAUGUACGUAAUGUAAUGUAUUGUACAAAAAUAUGCCGUUUCAUGGGAAAUAAUAAAAUGCGGGUAAUAUGAAAUAAGCACAUA